RNAcentral lists this ribosomal RNA (497 nucleotides) under uncultured bacterium. RNAcentral describes it as "partial 16S ribosomal RNA". It matches the Rfam family "Bacterial small subunit ribosomal RNA", at positions 28 to 507 of the family's 1533-position model. The record is from RNAcentral.
GAUGAACGCUGGCGGCGUGCCUAAUACAUGCAAGUCGAGCGAACAGAUAAGGAGCUUGCUCCUUUGACGUUAGCGGCGGACGGGUGAGUAGCACGUGGGUAACCUACCUAUAAGACUGGAAUAACUCCGGGAAACCGGGGCUAAUGCCGGAUAACAUUUAGAACCGCAUGGUUCUAAAGUGAAAGAUGGUUUUGCUAUCACUUAUAGAUGGACCCGCGCCGUAUUAGCUAGUUAGUAAGGUAACGGCUUACCAAGGCAACGAUACGUAGCCGACCUGAGAGGGUGAUCGGCCACACUGGAACUGAGACACGGUCCAGACUCCUACGGGAGGCAGCAGUAGGGAAUCUUCCGCAAUGGGCGAAAGCCUGACGGAGCAACGCCGCGUGAGUGAUGAAGGUCUUCGGAUCGUAAAACUCUGUUAUUAGGGAAGAACAAAUGUGUAAGUAACUGUGCACGUCUUGACGGUACCUAAUCAGAAAGCCGCGGCUAACUACGUG